This 346-nucleotide ribosomal RNA is filed under the name uncultured fungus. RNAcentral describes it as "SSU rRNA". It matches the Rfam family "Eukaryotic small subunit ribosomal RNA", at positions 1326 to 1695 of the family's 1831-position model. Lineage: Eukaryota; Fungi. The record is from RNAcentral.
CGAUAACGAACGAGACCUUAACCUGCUAAAUAGUUGCAUCCACUUUGGUGGACGUUCAACUUCUUAGAGGGACUAUCGACGACUAGUCGAUGGAAGUUUGAGGCAAUAACAGGUCUGUGAUGCCCUUAGAUGUUCUGGGCCGCACGCGCGCUACACUGACAAAGGCAACGAGUUUUUCCUUGGCCGGAAGGUCUGGGUAAUCUUUUGAAACUUUGUCGUGCUGGGGAUAGUCCUUUGCAAUUAUUGCUCUUCAACGAGGAAUUCCUAGUAAGCGCAAGUCAUCAACUUGCGUUGAUUACGUCCCUGCCCUUUGUACACACCGCCCGUCGCUACUACCGAUUGAAUG